UGUGCCGCCCUGAAGGGCGUAUGGUGGAUGCCUUGGCAGACAGUACCGAUGAAGGACGUUUGAGGAUGCGAUAAGCCUCGGGGAGCCUCCAACAUGGCUUCGAUCCGAGGAUUUCCGAAUGGGGCAACCCGCCGGCCGUCAUGGGCCGGCACGGAACCUUGUUGUUCCGGGGGUACGCAGGGAAGUGAAACAUCUCAGUACCUGCAGGAAGGGAUACUCCGUGAGUAGUGGCGAGCGAAAGCGGAUCAGACCAAACCAUGGGCGCGUGAUACCCGUCGGGGGUUGCGUCCGUGGUGUUGAGGGAGCGUGUGUCCCGGUUCCGACGGACCGGGCGGGAGUCAUAAAACGGCUUGCCAGGGGAACAGGCUUGAAGGCCUGGCCGCAGAGGGUGCCAGCCCCGUACCUGGAAGCUUGCCGUCUUCCGAUCAUGCGUCCCAAGUAGCGCGGGCCUCGUGGAAUCCCGUGUGAAUCCGCCCCGACCGUGGGGUAAGUCUAAGCAUACCUGUCUGACCGAUAGCGUACCAGUACCGUGAGGGAAAGGUGAAAAGCACCCCGGGAGGGGAGUGAAAGAGUUCCUGAAACCGUGCGCCUACAAUCCGUCGGAGCCUUCUUUGUGGGGUGACGGCGUGCCUAUCGAAAAAUGAGUCUGCGAGUCAGUGGUGCGUGGCGAGGCUAACCCGUCGUGGGGGAGCCGUAGCGAAGGCGAGUCUCAAAAGGCGUUUUGAGUCGCGUGCCCUGGACCCGAAGCGGGAUGAUCUAGCCCUGGGCAGGUUGAAGCGCGGGUAAGACCGCGUGGAGGACCGAACCCACCUGGGUUGAAAACCGGGGGGAUGACCUGGGGCUAGGGGUGAAAGGCCAAUCAAAUUCCGUGAUAGCUGGUUCUCUCCGAAAUGCAUUUAGGUGCAGCGUCGGUUGAUUGCAUCGCGGGGGUAGAGCUACUGGAUGCUUGCGGGCCCGUGUCGGGUACCAAUAGCAGCCAAACUCCGAAUACCGUGGAUGUGUAUUCCGGCAGUGAGUCGGCGGGGGAUAAGCUCCGUCGUCGAGAGGGAGACAGCCCAGAUCGUCGUCUAAGGUCCCGAAGCGUGUGCUAAGUGGGAAAGGAUGUGGAGUCGCAUAGACAGCCAGGAGGUUGGCUCAGAAGCAGCCAUCCUUGAAAGAGUGCGUAACAGCUCACUGGUCUAGUGGUUCCGCGCCGACAAUGUAGCGGGGCUCAAGCACACCACCGAAGACGCGGCAACGGCCUUUUCGGCCGUUGGGUAGGAGAGCGUCCCGCGUGGGGCGAAGCGGCCGUGGAAACGUGCCGUGGACCGCGCGGGAGCGAGAAUGCAGACAUGAGUAGCGAGAGACGGGUGAGGAUCCCGUCCGCUGGAUGACCAAGGGUUCCGGGGCCACGUUCGUCGUCCCCGGGUGAGUCGGGUCCUAAGGCGAGGCCGACAGGCGUAGUCGAAUGGAUGAACGGGUGGAUAUUCCCGUACCGGCAGCGAACCGCAAGAGCCGAACGGAUGAGUACUAACCUCCGGUCGCGUGGCGUCGUUCCCUUCGGGGUUCGGUGUCCGCGAUUGUUGGGAGCGUAGUCCUGGUAGGUUAGCGCACAGGGGUGACACGGAAUGGGAGCCGGCCGCGGAGGUGGUUUUCCGUGGUCAAGCACGCAGCCCGUCCCAUAGGCAAAUCCGUGGGACAUGUAGGGUGAGGUGCGAUGAUGGGCGCCUUUUGGCGCGAUAUCCGGUGGUCCAGGCCGUCGAGAAAAGCCUCGGCGCGAGGGGCGUUGCCGCCCGUACCCCAAACCGACACUGGUGGUCAGGUAGAGAAUACCAAGGCGAUCGAGCGAAUCCUGGUCAAGGAACUCGGCAAAUCACUCCCGUGCCUUCGGUAUAAGGGAGACCCCCGGACGUGAAGAGGCUUGCCCUCGGAGCGUCGGGGGGUGGCACAGACCAGGGGGUAGCGACUGUUUACCAAAAACACAGGUGCAUGCGAAGGCGCAAGCCGCUGUAUAUGCACUGACGCCUGCCCGGUGCCGGAAGGUUAAGAGGAUCCGUCAGCCCUCGGGUGAAGCGGUGAAUUCAAGCCCCGGUAAACGGCGGUGGUAACUAUAACCAUCCUAAGGUAGCGAAAUUCCUUGUCGGGUAAGUUCCGACCUGCACGAAUGG
This 2147-nucleotide ribosomal RNA is filed under the name Veillonella sp. RNAcentral's name for it is "partial 23S ribosomal RNA". It matches the Rfam family "Bacterial large subunit ribosomal RNA", at positions 1 to 1999 of the family's 2925-position model. The record is from RNAcentral. Lineage: Bacteria; Bacillati; Bacillota; Negativicutes; Veillonellales; Veillonellaceae.